GACGAACGCUGGCGGCGUGCUUAACACAUGCAAGUCGAGCGGUAAGGCCCUUUCGGGGGUACACGAGCGGCGAACGGGUGAGUAACACGUGGGUGACCUGCCCUCAGCUCUGGGAUAAGCCCGGGAAACUGGGUCUAAUACUGGAUAUGACUCCAUGACGCAUGUUGUGGGGUGGAAAGCCUUGUGCGGCUGAGGAUGGGCCCGCGGCCUAUCAGCUUGUUGGNGGGGUGAUGGCCUACCAAGGCGACGACGGGUAGCCGGCCUGAGAGGGCGACCGGCCACACUGGGACUGAGACACGGCCCAGACUCCUACGGGAGGCAGCAGUGGGGAAUCUUGCGCAAUGGGCGAAAGCCUGACGCAGCGACGCCGCGUGA
Molecule: ribosomal RNA, 375 nt
Filed under: uncultured bacterium
Lineage: Bacteria
Description: bacterial SSU rRNA
Rfam family: Bacterial small subunit ribosomal RNA
Source: RNAcentral